CUGUCUCAAAGAUUAAGCCAUGCAUGUCUAAGUAUAAGCAAUUAUACAGCGAAACUGCGAAUGGCUCAUUAUAUAAGUUAUCGUUUAUUUGAUAGUACCUUACUACAUGGAUAACCGUGGUAAUUCUAGAGCUAAUACAUGCUAAAAAUCCCAACUUCGGAAGGGAUGUAUUUAUUAGAUUAAAAACCAAUGCCCUCUGGGCUCUCUGGUGAUUCAUGAUAACUCUUCGAAUCGCAUGGCCUUGCGCUGGCGAUGGUUCAUUCAAAUUUCUUCCCUAUCAACUUUCGAUGUUUGGGUAUUGGCCAAACAUGGUUGCAACGGGUAACGGAGGGUUAGGGCUCGACCCCGGAGAAGGAGCCUGAGAAACGGCUACUACAUCCAAGGAAGGCAGCAGGCGCGCAAAUUACCCAAUCCCGACACGGGGAGGUAGUGACAAUAAAUACUGAUACAGGGCUCUUUCGGGUCUUGUAAUUGGAAUGAGUACAAUUUAAAUCCCUUAACGAGGAACAAUUGGAGGGCAAGUCUGGUGCCAGCAGCCGCGGUAAUUCCAGCUCCAAUAGCGUAUAUUAAAGUUGUUGUGGUUAAAAAGCUCGUAGUUGAACCUUGGGCCUGGCUGGCCGGUCCGCCUCACCGCGUGUACUGGUCCGGCCGGGCCUUUCCCUCUGUGGAACCCCAUGCCCUUCA
This 684-nucleotide ribosomal RNA is filed under the name uncultured Phyllachora. RNAcentral's name for it is "SSU rRNA". It matches the Rfam family "Eukaryotic small subunit ribosomal RNA", at positions 31 to 721 of the family's 1831-position model. Lineage: Eukaryota; Fungi; Ascomycota; Sordariomycetes; Phyllachorales; Phyllachoraceae. The record is from RNAcentral.